Molecule: unclassified non-coding RNA, 329 nt
Filed under: soil metagenome
Description: partial contains 5.8S ribosomal RNA, internal transcribed spacer 2, and large subunit ribosomal RNA
Rfam family: 5.8S ribosomal RNA (bases 1-120)
Source: RNAcentral
GAUGAAGAACGCAGCGAAAUGCGAUAAGUAGUGUGAAUUGCAGAAUUCAGUGAAUCAUCGAAUCUUUGAACGCACAUUGCGCCCCUUGGUAUCCCGAGGGGCAUGCCUGUUCGAGCGUCAUUUCACCACUCAAUCCUGGCUUGGUGUUGGGCGACGUCCCCUUUGGGGACGCGCCUCGAAACGCUCGGCGGCGUGGCACCGGCUUUAAGCGUAGCAGAAUCUUUCGCUUUGGAAGUCGGGGCCCCGUCUGCCGGAAGACCUACUCGCAAGGUUGACCUCGGAUCAGGCAGGGAUACCCGCUGAACUUAAGCAUAUCAAUAAGCGGAGGA